This 72-nucleotide transfer RNA is filed under the name Anaerolineae bacterium. RNAcentral's name for it is "tRNA-Arg". It matches the Rfam family "tRNA". Rfam says of the family: Transfer RNA (tRNA) molecules are approximately 80 nucleotides in length. Lineage: Bacteria; Bacillati; Chloroflexota; Anaerolineae. The record is from RNAcentral.
GCCCCUGUAGCUCAGCGGAUAGAGCAGCGGCCUCCGGAGCCGUGUGCGGCAGUUCGAGUCUGCCCAGGGGUA